This 512-nucleotide ribosomal RNA is filed under the name uncultured bacterium. Its description in RNAcentral is "partial 16S ribosomal RNA". It matches the Rfam family "Bacterial small subunit ribosomal RNA", at positions 28 to 523 of the family's 1533-position model. The record is from RNAcentral.
GACGAACGCUGGCGACGUGCCUAAUACAUGCAAGUCGAGCGGACCAAUAGAAGCUUGCUUCUAUUGGUUAUCGGCGGACGGGUGAGUAACACGUGGGCAACCUGCCUGUAAGACUGGGAUAACUUCGGGAAACCGGAGCUAAUACCGGAUAAUUCAUCCCCUCGCAUGAGGGGGUGCUGAAAGUCGGUUCACGCUGACACUUUCAGAUGGGCCUGCGGCGCAUUAGCUAGUGGGUGAGGUAAUGGCGCACCAAGGCGAAGAUGCGUAGCCGACCUGAGAGGGUGAUCGGCCACACUGGGACUGAGACACGGCCCAGACUCCUACGGGAGGCAGCAGUAGGGAAUCUUCCACAAUGGACGAAAGUCUGAUGGAGCAACGCCGCGUGAGCGAUGAAGGCCUUCGGGUCGUAAAGCUCUGUUGUUAGGGAAGAACAAGUACCGGAGUAACUGCCGGUACCUUGACGGUACCUAACCAGAAAGCCACGGCUAACUACGUGCCAGCAGCCGCCGUAA